GCAAACCUCCCUCAAGGGAAGAAUCCCAAGUCGCUGCAUUACAGUCAACGCUUCGUUUUUGACCAAAAACGGAAUUGACCGGCUGCAUCGCCUGGCCCAAUCCACCAGCCUAGGCCCAGAAAGUUCUUUGUACUCAGGAGGAAGAAAUAUGGCUACUGAGAACAGCCUAAAGGGGCGAAUGGAUGAGGGGGCCACAACAGAAGAGGACGCCCAGUGAGGAGGCUCCUGUGACUGUCCAGGACCCAGUCCAAACUCCUUGGUCCACUCUUCCGAAGAAUCUAUUCACCGGGCCCCAAGGGCAAGGCACUGCAAAGGAGAGCUGGAGCUGGUUGCUGUUCUGGCUCUGAGACAUCAACAAGCUACAUGACGCACUAGCCUCUCAGCUGAAGACACUCUCACUCAAAAUGCCCGAUAGAUCCACACAAAGGAACAGUAUUCAGCCAUAAAAAGGAAUGAAGUGCUGACACGUGCUACAAUAUGGAUGACCCGUGAAGACACGAUGCUACAUCAAAGAGAAGCCAGAACGAGCAUCAAAGACCGUGUCUUAUGUGA
Panthera uncia (snow leopard) is the source of this 552-nucleotide long non-coding RNA. RefSeq lists it as uncharacterized. Lineage: Eukaryota; Metazoa; Chordata; Mammalia; Carnivora; Felidae. The transcript has 3 exons. The record is from RefSeq and is a predicted model, not a curated record.